Molecule: ribosomal RNA, 433 nt
Filed under: uncultured bacterium
Lineage: Bacteria
Description: partial 16S ribosomal RNA
Rfam family: Bacterial small subunit ribosomal RNA
Source: RNAcentral
AACGAACGCUGGCGGCAUGCCUAACACAUGCAAGUCGAACGAGACCUUCGGGUCUAGUGGCGCACGGGUGCGUAACGCGUGGGAACCUGCCCUUAGGUUCGGAAUAACUCCCCGAAAGGGGUGCUAAUACCGGAUAAUGUCUUCGGACCAAAGAUUUAUCGCCUUUGGAUGGGCCCGCGUUGGAUUAGCUAGUUGGUAGGGUAAAAGCCUACCAAGGCGACGAUGCAUAGCUGGUCUGAGAGGAUGAUCAGCCACACUGGGACUGCGACACGGACCAGACUCCUACGGGAGGCAGCAGUAGGGAAUAUUGGACAAUGGGCGAAAGCCUGAUCCAGCAAUGCCGCGUGAGUGAUGAAGGCCUUAGGGUUGUAAAGCUCUUUUACCCGGGAUGAUAAUGACAGUACCGGGAGAAUAAGCUCCGGCUAACUCCGUG